UGGGCUCAAAUGAGAGAGUUCCAAGUCCAAGUUUUUUCUAUUAUAUUUUAUUUAUUUUUUUAUUUUUUUUUAUUUUUUUUAUUUUUUUUAUUUUUUUUUUCUUGGAUCUAAUUCUGAUUGACAUGAUGAAAUGCAAUAUGAAAUGCUAAAUGAAUGCAUGAAUGAGGAGGGAAAAUUUUGGGGUGUUACAGUACCAUCUUAAAAAAGAUUAGGAUCAAAACGUCGUAGUUCGGGGUAAAAAUCUCAAAACAAGUUGGUGAAUUGAUUGGGUCCAAAAGCCUUAAGGUCUUUUGUUAUCCAAGGGAGAAAACUCAACCUAAAAAACCACAAAUCCACCAUGUGAGGAUAGCUUCAACAUGCUAGUGAGGGGUU
Molecule: long non-coding RNA, 372 nt
Filed under: Lathyrus oleraceus (garden pea)
Lineage: Eukaryota; Viridiplantae; Streptophyta; Magnoliopsida; Fabales; Fabaceae
Description: Pisum sativum (pea) long non-coding RNA (PSAT_LNC032455)
Source: RNAcentral